This 440-nucleotide ribosomal RNA is filed under the name uncultured bacterium. RNAcentral describes it as "partial 16S ribosomal RNA". It matches the Rfam family "Bacterial small subunit ribosomal RNA", at positions 338 to 795 of the family's 1533-position model. The record is from RNAcentral.
CCUACGGGAGGCAGCAGUGGGGGAUAUUGCACAAUGGGGGAAACCCUGAUGCAGCGACGCCGCGUGGGUGAAGAAGCGCCUCGGCGCGUAAAGCCCUGUCAGCAGGGAAGAAAAUGACGGUACCUGAAGAAGAAGCCCCGGCUAACUACGUGCCAGCAGCCGCGGUAAUACGUGGGGGGCAAGCGUUCUCCGGAUGUACUGGGUGUAAAGGGGGCGCAGACGGCGAUGCAAGCCAGGAGUGAAAGCCCGGGGCCCAACCCCGGGACUGCUCUUGGAACUGCGUGGCUAGAGUGCAGGAGGGGCAGGCGGAAUUCCUGGUGUAGCGGUGAAAUGCGUAGAUAUCAGGAGGAACACCGGUGGCGAAGGCGGCCUGCUGGACUGCAACUGACGUUGAUGCCCGAAAGCGUGGGGAGCAAACAGGAUUAGAUACCCGAGUAGUC